This 373-nucleotide ribosomal RNA is filed under the name uncultured organism. RNAcentral's name for it is "partial 16S ribosomal RNA". It matches the Rfam family "Bacterial small subunit ribosomal RNA", at positions 527 to 896 of the family's 1533-position model. The record is from RNAcentral.
GUAGGUGGCAAGCGUUGUCCGGAAUUAUUGGGCGUAAAGCGCGCGCAGGCGGCCCUUUAAGUCUGAUGUGAAAGCCCACGGCUCAACCGUGGAGGGUCAUUGGAAACUGGGGGACUUGAGUACAGAAGAGGAAAGCGGAAUUCCAAGUGUAGCGGUGAAAUGCGUAGAGAUUUGGAGGAACACCAGUGGCGAAGGCGGCUUUCUGGUCUGUAACUGACGCUGAGGCGCGAAAGCGUGGGGAGCAAACAGGGAUUAGAUACCCUGGUAGUCCACGCCGUAAACGAUGAGUGCUAAGUGUUAGGGGGGUUUCCGCCCCCUUAGUGCUGCAGCUAACGCAUUAAGCACUCCGCCUGGGGAUACGGCCGCAAGGCUG